Molecule: ribosomal RNA, 1540 nt
Filed under: Staphylococcus aureus M0642
Lineage: Bacteria; Bacillati; Bacillota; Bacilli; Caryophanales; Staphylococcaceae
Description: 16S ribosomal RNA
Rfam family: Bacterial small subunit ribosomal RNA
Source: RNAcentral
AGAGUUUGAUCCUGGCUCAGGAUGAACGCUGGCGGCGUGCCUAAUACAUGCAAGUCGAGCGAACGGACGAGAAGCUUGCUUCUCUGAUGUUAGCGGCGGACGGGUGAGUAACACGUGGAUAACCUACCUAUAAGACUGGGAUAACUUCGGGAAACCGGAGCUAAUACCGGAUAAUAUUUUGAACCGCAUGGUUCAAAAGUGAAAGACGGUCUUGCUGUCACUUAUAGAUGGAUCCGCGCUGCAUUAGCUAGUUGGUAAGGUAACGGCUUACCAAGGCAACGAUGCAUAGCCGACCUGAGAGGGUGAUCGGCCACACUGGAACUGAGACACGGUCCAGACUCCUACGGGAGGCAGCAGUAGGGAAUCUUCCGCAAUGGGCGAAAGCCUGACGGAGCAACGCCGCGUGAGUGAUGAAGGUCUUCGGAUCGUAAAACUCUGUUAUUAGGGAAGAACAUAUGUGUAAGUAACUGUGCACAUCUUGACGGUACCUAAUCAGAAAGCCACGGCUAACUACGUGCCAGCAGCCGCGGUAAUACGUAGGUGGCAAGCGUUAUCCGGAAUUAUUGGGCGUAAAGCGCGCGUAGGCGGUUUUUUAAGUCUGAUGUGAAAGCCCACGGCUCAACCGUGGAGGGUCAUUGGAAACUGGAAAACUUGAGUGCAGAAGAGGAAAGUGGAAUUCCAUGUGUAGCGGUGAAAUGCGCAGAGAUAUGGAGGAACACCAGUGGCGAAGGCGACUUUCUGGUCUGUAACUGACGCUGAUGUGCGAAAGCGUGGGGAUCAAACAGGAUUAGAUACCCUGGUAGUCCACGCCGUAAACGAUGAGUGCUAAGUGUUAGGGGGUUUCCGCCCCUUAGUGCUGCAGCUAACGCAUUAAGCUCUCCGCCUGGGGAGUACGACCGCAAGGUUGAAACUCAAAGGAAUUGACGGGGACCCGCACAAGCGGUGGAGCAUGUGGUUUAAUUCGAAGCAACGCGAAGAACCUUACCAAAUCUUGACAUCCUUUGACAACUCUAGAGAUAGAGCCUUCCCCUUCGGGGGACAAAGUGACAGGUGGUGCAUGGUUGUCGUCAGCUCGUGUCGUGAGAUGUUGGGUUAAGUCCCGCAACGAGCGCAACCCUUAAGCUUAGUUGCCAUCAUUAAGUUGGGCACUCUAAGUUGACUGCCGGUGACAAACCGGAGGAAGGUGGGGAUGACGUCAAAUCAUCAUGCCCCUUAUGAUUUGGGCUACACACGUGCUACAAUGGACAAUACAAAGGGCAGCGAAACCGCGAGGUCAAGCAAAUCCCAUAAAGUUGUUCUCAGUUCGGAUUGUAGUCUGCAACUCGACUACAUGAAGCUGGAAUCGCUAGUAAUCGUAGAUCAGCAUGCUACGGUGAAUACGUUCCCGGGUCUUGUACACACCGCCCGUCACACCACGAGAGUUUGUAACACCCGAAGCCGGUGGAGUAACCUUUUAGGAGCUAGCCGUCGAAGGUGGGACAAAUGAUUGGGGUGAAGUCGUAACAAGGUAGCCGUAUCGGAAGGUGCGGCUGGAUCACCU